This 65-nucleotide transfer RNA is filed under the name Atkinsoniella yunnanana. Its description in RNAcentral is "tRNA-Asp". Lineage: Eukaryota; Metazoa; Arthropoda; Insecta; Hemiptera; Cicadellidae. The record is from RNAcentral.
AAGAAUUUAGUUUAUGAAAAAACAUUAAUUUGUCAAGUUAAAAAAAUUAUAAUUAAUAAUUCUUU